Molecule: long non-coding RNA, 340 nt
Organism: Oncorhynchus tshawytscha (Chinook salmon)
Lineage: Eukaryota; Metazoa; Chordata; Actinopteri; Salmoniformes; Salmonidae
Source: Ensembl
GGUUAGAGGAGGCAGGUAGCCUAGUGGUUAGAGGAGACAGGUAGCCUAGUGGUUAGAGGAGGCAGGUAGCCUAGUGGUUAGAGGAGGCAGGUAGCCUAGUGGUUAGAGGAGACAGGUAGCCUAGUGGUUAGAGGAGGCAGGUAGCCUAGUGGUUAGAGGAGGCAGGUAGCCUAGUGGUUAGAGGAGGCAGGUAGCCUAGUGGUUAGAAGAGGCAGGUAGCCUAGUGGUUAGAGGAGGCAGGUAGCCUAGUGGUUAGAGGAGGCAGGUAGCCUAGUGGUUAGAGGAGGCAGGUAGCCUAGUGGUUAGAGGAGACAGGUAGCCUAGUGGUUAGAGGAGGCAG